AGUGAACGCUGGCGGUAGGCCUAACACAUGCAAGUCGAACGGCAGCACAGGAGAGCUUGCUCUCUGGGUGGCGAGUGGCGGACGGGUGAGGAAUACAUCGGAAUCUACUCUGUCGUGAGGGAUAACGUAGGGAAACUUACGCUAAUACCGCAUACGACCUACGGGUGAAAGCAGGGGACCUUCGGGCCUUGCGCGAUUGAAUGAGCCGAUGUCGGAUUAGCUAGUUGGCGGGGUAAAGGCCCACCAAGCUGAGGAUCCGUAGCUGGUCUGAGAGGCAGAUCGGCCACGCUGUGACUGGGACACGGUCCAGCCUCCUACGGGAGGCAGCAGUGGGGAAUAUUGGACAAUGGGCGCAAGCCUGAUCCGGCAAUACCGAGUGGGUGAAAAAGGCCUUCGGGUUGUAAAGCCCUUUUGUUGGAAAAGAAAUCCAGCUCGCUAAUACCCGGUUGGGAUGACGGUACCCAAAGAAUAAGCGCCGGCUAACUUCGUGCCAGCAGCCGCAGUAA
This 506-nucleotide ribosomal RNA is filed under the name uncultured bacterium. RNAcentral's name for it is "partial 16S ribosomal RNA". It matches the Rfam family "Bacterial small subunit ribosomal RNA", at positions 29 to 523 of the family's 1533-position model. The record is from RNAcentral.